GACGAACGCUGGCGGCGUGCUUAACACAUGCAAGUCGAACGGAAAGGCCCUGCUUUUGUGGGGUGCUCGAGUGGCGAACGGGUGAGUAACACGUGAGUAACCUGCCCUUGACUUUGGGAUAACUUCAGGAAACUGGGGCUAAUACCGGAUAGGAGCUCCUGCUGCAUGGUGGGGGUUGGAAAGUUUCGGCGGUUGGGGAUGGACUCGCGGCUUAUCAGCUUGUUGGUGGGGUAGUGGCUUACCAAGGCUUUGACGGGUAGCCGGCCUGAGAGGGUGACCGGCCACAUGGGGACUGAGAUGCGGCCCAGGCGCCUACGGGAGGCAGCAGUGGGGAAUAUUGCACAAUGGGCGGAGGCCUGAUGCAGAAACGCCGCGUGCGGGAUGACGGCCUUCGGGUUGUAAACCGCUUUCGCCUGUGACGAAGCGUGAGUGACGGUAAUGGGUAAAGAAGCACCGGCUAACUACGU
RNAcentral lists this ribosomal RNA (467 nucleotides) under uncultured bacterium. RNAcentral describes it as "partial 16S ribosomal RNA". It matches the Rfam family "Bacterial small subunit ribosomal RNA", at positions 28 to 506 of the family's 1533-position model. The record is from RNAcentral.